RNAcentral lists this ribosomal RNA (465 nucleotides) under Vreelandella stevensii. RNAcentral's name for it is "partial 16S ribosomal RNA". It matches the Rfam family "Bacterial small subunit ribosomal RNA", at positions 338 to 795 of the family's 1533-position model. Lineage: Bacteria; Pseudomonadati; Pseudomonadota; Gammaproteobacteria; Oceanospirillales; Halomonadaceae. The record is from RNAcentral.
CCUACGGGUGGCUGCAGUGGGGAAUAUUGGACAAUGGGGGGAACCCUGAUCCAGCCAUGCCGCGUGUGUGAAGAAGGCCCUCGGGUUGGAAAGCACUUUCAGUGAGGAAGAACGCCUGGUGGUUAAUACCCAUCAGGAAAGACAUCACUCACAGAAGAAGCACCGGCUAACUCCGUGCCAGCAGCCGAGGUAAUACGGAGGGUGCGAGCGUUAAUCGGAAUUACUGGGCGUAAAGCGCGCGUAGGUGGCUUGAUAAGCCGGUUGUGAAAGCCCCGGGCUCAACCUGGGAACGGCAUCCGGAACUGUCAAGCUAGAGUGCAGGAGAGGAAGGUAGAAUUCCCGGUGUAGCGGUGAAAUGCGUAGAGAUCGGGAGGAAUACCAGUGGCGAAGGCGGCCUUCUGGACUGACACUGCCACUGAGGUGCGAAAGCGUGGGUAGCAAACAGGAUUAGAUACCCGGGUAGUC